This 1444-nucleotide long non-coding RNA is filed under the name Lactuca sativa (garden lettuce). RNAcentral's name for it is "long non-coding RNA (LSAT_LNC006201)". Lineage: Eukaryota; Viridiplantae; Streptophyta; Magnoliopsida; Asterales; Asteraceae. The record is from RNAcentral.
UUUUUUUUUUUUUUUUUCUGUACAUGGAAUUGGCUGAUGGGCCAACGUGAUGGAACCUCCUUCCAAUAAUCAUGUAUGUAUCGGAAAAUUCCUUUGAGAUAUCAAAUAGUAAUUUGAUAAUUUGACUCCUUUCCUCAAUCUUACAUUCAUGGCAUUUAUGUCUUUAACAAAUAGGUAAUUUAGGGAACUCAAAUUUUGCAGCUUGUAAUGGAAUGGAAGGAAAACAAAAUCAAAACAAAAACAUGCGAUGCACCCAAUCACAAGAAAUUAUCAAUAACUUCGAAUUUUGAUAUGCAUCAAUAACAUCCAAUGCAAUGAAUGAUGGCAUAUCAUAAAAAAAACAACAUUCUUCCUUGACAUAAAGCCAAAUCCAUAAAGAUAUGUGGAAAUUAAUUAGCAUUGCAUGUUUCAGAUUUAGAAUCAAAUAAAAAUGGCGAACAAGUGAUGAAAGCACAAAAAUCACCCGCAUUGUCAACGCCAUUGAUUAUCAAUGAAAAAGAAUGCAAUACAUCAAAAUCAAACAUAGUAAUAACAAUUUGCAUUUCAUCUUCUCAUUAUGUAGUUAUAAUCGAAACAAAAGGUAAAAGGCAUACAUUCAAAUUCCCAAAACUUACAAUGAAUUAACCCUAAAACAGGCUACCAUCAUCCCCGCUAACAAUCGAGCCCCAAGCUCUGUUAAAAAUUAAAGAUUUUCGGAGAGAAACCUGGAUAUUGACGCAAUCUUUUUCUUCUUCGUACAAAAAUCAUCUUCGCCCGGGUUCUAAUUAGAUUUACGAUAACGUUCCUCGACUUGCUUGGCCCUCGUUAGGGUUUGAUUUACGAGAUUUUUAAUAUCUGGGACAUAGUAAUUUUGAGCAACAUAGAUUCCGAACAAGGUUCCGAACAUGAAUGAGAAAUUUCUUACGAUUAAACCCAUCUUUAAGCAGUUGAUUGGGUCGUUUGGAAGUCAAAAGAAAUUGUAAACGUUGUGGGUAGAUUCAGAAAUCAGAACCUGAAAACAAAUUCAUGAAUAAAGAAAUUGAAAUUGACGAUAUUUUACUUUGACUUUUUCCUUUGUCGUCGUGGAAGAAAUUUGAAGCUUAAAAAUCAAAUAUCUAUUUAUCGUAGACAAUACGAAGAAAAAGGAUGGGGAUAAUGUUCCUAGCAAUUCGUUUUUGGUUUAAAAUGUUUUUAAUUGUUAUAUGAUUAUAUCAAGUUUAUAUAACAAUUAAGAAAAAGGACAAAGAUUUUUACUUGGUGCAAACUGAUUUGAGGUUCCAAACCAAAUAAAAAAAAGGCUUUUACAGUAAAAACAUAUUAAUAAAUGUAACAUCUUCAAAAUACUGAGACAAAAUUCAAUUUUAUUAUAUACAAAACAUUCAUUCAUCUUUAAUUAAAACAUUUAAAAAUAUAAGGGUAAAACAAUUAUCAGAGUAUAUUUCCAAAAUCACGAAUUGUAGAAAAC